This 247-nucleotide ribosomal RNA is filed under the name uncultured bacterium. RNAcentral describes it as "partial 16S ribosomal RNA". It matches the Rfam family "Bacterial small subunit ribosomal RNA", at positions 523 to 769 of the family's 1533-position model. The record is from RNAcentral.
AUACGUAGGGGGCGAGCGUUGUCCGGAAUUACUGGGCGUAAAGGGUGCGUAGGCGGCAUGUUAAGUUGGAUGUGAAAUACCCGGGCUCAACCUGGGGGGUGCAUUCAAAACUGGCAAGCUAGAGUGCAGGAGAGGGAAGCGGAAUUCCUAGUGUAGCGGUGAAAUGCGUAGAUAUUCGGAGGAACACCAGUGGCGAAGGCGGCUUACUGGUCCAUUACUGACGCUGAGGUGCGAAAGCGUGGGGAGC